UUUUCGUUUCUUCGUGUGCAACGUUGACCAUUUGUUUUAUUUGAAAUUCUUUUUGCGAUUAAUAUUUUUAUUGUUACUAUAUGAUAAAAUAUGAAUAGUUGACUAAUUUUUUAAAGUUUUUUUAUAAUUUUUUUAAAUAAAACGAAUGGUCAAACGUUGGAUAUGAAAAACGAAAAAUAAAAUUAUU
RNAcentral lists this microRNA precursor (187 nucleotides) under Oryza brachyantha (malo sina). RNAcentral describes it as "MIR812 microRNA precursor family". It matches the Rfam family "MIR812 microRNA precursor family". Lineage: Eukaryota; Viridiplantae; Streptophyta; Magnoliopsida; Poales; Poaceae. The record is from Rfam by way of RNAcentral.